RNAcentral lists this ribosomal RNA (672 nucleotides) under Bassianus sp. NLG-2013. Its description in RNAcentral is "eukaryotic LSU rRNA". It matches the Rfam family "Eukaryotic large subunit ribosomal RNA", at positions 645 to 1272 of the family's 3401-position model. The record is from RNAcentral. Lineage: Eukaryota; Metazoa; Arthropoda; Insecta; Coleoptera; Tenebrionidae.
GGACCCGUCCUUGAAACACGGACCAAGGAGUCUAGCAUGUGCGCGAGUCAUUGGGACAUGACUAAACCUAAAGGCGCAAUGAAAGUGAAGGUCCGCCUCGCGCGGACCGAGGGAGGAUGGGCGACCGUUUCGGCGGACGCCCCGCACUCCCGGGGCGUCUCGUUCUCAUUGCGAGAAGAGGCGCACCAAGAGCGUACACGCUGGGACCCGAAAGAUGGUGAACUAUGCCUGGUCAGGACGAAGUCAGGGGAAACCCUGAUGGAGGUCCGUAGCGAUUCUGACGUGCAAAUCGAUCGUCGGAACUGGGUAUAGGGGCGAAAGACUAAUCGAACCAUCUAGUAGCUGGUUCCCUCCGAAGUUUCCCUCAGGAUAGCUGGCGCUCGUAGCGUACGAGUUUCAUCCGGUAAAGCGAAUGAUUAGAGGCAUUGGGGUCGAAACGGCCUCAACCUAUUCUCAAACUUUAAAUGGGUGAGAUCUCCGGCUUGCUCGAACUCUUGAAGCCGCGAGACUCGAAUCAGAGUGCCAAGUGGGCCAUUUUUGGUAAGCAGAACUGGCGCUGUGGGAUGAACCAAACGCCGAGUUAAAGCGCCUAAAUCGACGCUUAUGGGAUACCAUGAAAGGCGUUGGUAACUUAAGACAUCAGGACGGUGGCCAUGGAAGUCGGAAUCCGCU